CCUACGGGCGGCAGCAGUGGGGGAUAUUGCACAAUGGGGGGAACCCUGAUGCAGCGACGCCGCGUGGGUGAAGGAGUGCUUCGGCAUGUAAAGCCCUAUCGGCAGGGAAGAAGCAAGACGGUACCUGACUAAGAAGCCCCGGCUAACUACGUGCCAGCAGCCGCGGUAAUACGUAGGGGGCGAGCGUGAUCCGGAUUAACUGGGUGUAAAGGGAGCGUAGACGGCCAGGCAAGCAAGGGGUGAAAGCCCGGGGCCCAACCCCGGGACUGCCCUUGGAACUGUGCGGCUAGAGUGCGGGAGGGGCAGGCGGAAUUCCUGGUGUAGCGGUGAAAUGCGUAGAUAUCAGGAGGAACACCGGCGGCGAAGGCGGCCUGCUGGACCGCGACUGACGUUGAGGCUCGAAAGCGUGGGGAGCGAACAGGAUUAGAUACCCUGGUAGUC
This 441-nucleotide ribosomal RNA is filed under the name uncultured bacterium. Its description in RNAcentral is "partial 16S ribosomal RNA". It matches the Rfam family "Bacterial small subunit ribosomal RNA", at positions 338 to 795 of the family's 1533-position model. The record is from RNAcentral.